Molecule: non-coding RNA, 844 nt
Organism: Chrysemys picta bellii (western painted turtle)
Lineage: Eukaryota; Metazoa; Chordata; Testudines; Emydidae
Source: RefSeq, a predicted model, not a curated record
UGCUCUCCUCAGAUGGCACAAUCUUCAGGGAGAAGAGCCCGUUUCAAUUUGCAGAACCAUCCAAGGACCUGUGGUAUAUGAGGCCUACUCAUCCCCCUUUGGCACUUGCUAGUUGGCUCCACUGAUGUAACCGUGGCACGUUUUCCAGCAUCCCAAUGGGCCUCUGAUAUGUUGGGUGUGCAUCCGUUAGUCAUCUGGAAUGGCUACAAGAAUGGAUGGGCCUAAGCUGCUCAGAGAGGAAGGUUGGGCACUAAUCUGGGACUCGGGAGGCAUGAGGUCAACUCCCUGCUCUGCCACCGGCUUCCUGUGUGAGUGUGGCAGUGAGGUGGGUGUUUGCUUAAUAAACAAUGUUUGAAGUCAGUCGUCUCCAGGUAGCCGUGUUGACUGAAGCUACUGUACUGUGGCAGAGUGCAAAUACAGCAGCUUAGUGGAUAUUGUUAUGGUUCAUGUGAAGCCCUCAAACCCAACUGAUGAGGAUUUCCUCAGUGACAGUUCAGUGGAUGCCUGAAGGAUUUGACACCACCUGAUUAUUUACCAUUGUUUUUGUAAAAUGUAAAAACGGCCGCUUAGCUGAGUAUAUGAAAUGCACAGAACAGUGUGUCUGCCACCUUCUCAGUAGCUGGAAAGCAUGGUCAUUCUUUCAUUUAUGCCUAAUUAUCCAUUCAGUAUUUCACAAAAACUAUUAUCCUAACUCCGUUUUCUCAGACACAUUUUGUGUUUCUUGUAGGUUUUGCAGAAUUUACCGUUCCCUCAAAACUCCACAGUGUGCCUAUUGCUUAACUCAAAGGAAAAAACACAAUUUUGAAAAUGUUGGUUCGAUGAAAACCUGAACAUUUUCCAAAAG